AACUUUCAACAACGGAUCUCUUGGCUCUCGCAUCGAUGAAGAACGCAGCGAAAUGCGAUAGGUAAUGUGAAUUGCAGAACUCAGUGAAUCAUCGAAUCUUUGAACGCACAUUGCGCCCUGGGGCAUU
This 127-nucleotide ribosomal RNA is filed under the name Tuber aestivum var. uncinatum (Burgundy truffle). RNAcentral describes it as "Tuber uncinatum (Burgundy truffle) 5.8S ribosomal RNA". It matches the Rfam family "5.8S ribosomal RNA", at positions 1 to 127 of the family's 154-position model. From Rfam's summary of the family: 5.8S ribosomal RNA (5.8S rRNA) is a component of the large subunit of the eukaryotic ribosome. It is transcribed by RNA polymerase I as part of the 45S precursor that also contains 18S and 28S rRNA. RNAcentral also lists the same sequence under 1 other name. Lineage: Eukaryota; Fungi; Ascomycota; Pezizomycetes; Pezizales; Tuberaceae. The record is from RNAcentral.